AACGCGAAGAACCUUACCUGGGCUUGAACUACUCGUGGUAGUUCGCUGGAAACAGUGGACGACCCGCAAGGGAGCGAGCAGAGGUGCUGCAUGGUUGUCGUCAGCUCGUGUCGUGAGAUGUUGGGUUAAGUCCCGCAACGAGCGCAACCCCUACUCGAUGUUGCCACUCCCGCAAGGGAAGCACUCUUCGAGAACUGCCUUCGAUAAGAAGGAGGAAGGUGGGGACGACGUCAAAUCCUCAUGGCCCUUAUGUCCAGGGCUACACACGUGUUACAAUGGCCGGUACAAUGGGAAGCAAUACCGUAAGGUGGAGCCAAACCCACAAAGCCGGCCCCAGUUCAGAUUGUGGGCUGCAACUCGCCCACAUGAAGGCGGAAUCGCUAGUAAUCGCUGAUCAGCAGGCAGCGGUGAAUACGUUCCCGGGCCUUGUACACACCGCUGUA
Molecule: ribosomal RNA, 443 nt
Filed under: uncultured bacterium
Lineage: Bacteria
Description: bacterial SSU rRNA
Rfam family: Bacterial small subunit ribosomal RNA
Source: RNAcentral